ACGGAGGGUGCAAGCGUUAUCCGGAUUCACUGGGUUUAAAGGGUGCGUAGGCGGCCUGAUAAGUCAGUGGUGAAAGCUUCCAGCUUAACUGGGAAACUGCCAUUGAAACUGUCAGGCUUGAGUACAAUUGAAGUGGGCGGAAUACAUCAUGUAGCGGUGAAAUGCUUAGAUAUGAUGUAGAACACCGAUUGCGAAGGCAGCUCACUAAAUUGCAACUGACGCUGAGGCACGAAAGCGUGGGUAGCGGACAGGA
RNAcentral lists this ribosomal RNA (253 nucleotides) under uncultured prokaryote. Its description in RNAcentral is "partial 16S ribosomal RNA". It matches the Rfam family "Bacterial small subunit ribosomal RNA", at positions 525 to 777 of the family's 1533-position model. The record is from RNAcentral.